Zophobas morio is the source of this 1445-nucleotide long non-coding RNA. RefSeq lists it as uncharacterized. The transcript is spliced from 3 exons. The record is from RefSeq and is a predicted model, not a curated record. NCBI's taxonomy places the organism in Eukaryota, Metazoa, Arthropoda, Insecta, Coleoptera, Tenebrionidae.
AUUAUAUUGGUACGACUGAUAGCGAAACAUAUGCUAAAGUUUUAUCGAUUUCACAAGUGUCAUUGGUGUCAACUUUGGUUAUGUUGUGUUAUUGUUUGAUUUUUCGCGUUUUUCUACUUUUCUGCUCGUGUAAUCGUAUCAGUUCUUUUCAGAACUAUAACAGUUCUUUUUAGAACUCCAAGUUAACUGUCCUGUACCGUGGUACGUGUCGCUUGCUUGAACGUAAACAUUCCACCAUGCCGAAGCCCUUGCACAAAGAUGUAAAGCAAAUGGAUGAUAAUUUAGUGGGCUAUUUUGUUAAAGAACGCGAUAGCGGGGGACCUCUUUUACCACUAACAGCUGUUCAAGACAUAAGUAGGUGUAUUUUAUUACAAUUAGUAAUGCAGUCACAUUGUACAGAGGGUUGCUGCUGCUCUGGGUGUAUGUGUGCGAACAGUGAACUCCGUGGUACAACAAAUAAAAACCGGAGAAGGUGUACAUUCUCCCAAGAAAUAGAGACCCCCGAACAAAGCAAGUGUGUGAUAUUAGCACUUCGGAGCAGUGUGCUAUUCGAGAGUGCUUAUAUGGAAUGGUCGAAAAAAAAAUACAUGUUACAUGCAGAUACAAGCAAUGGAUUUAUUGAUGAAGCAGCGCUGGCAUUUUCUUCUAAUACAAAAAAUCCAGAAAUGAAUCAACAGAAUUUUCUCAAGUGGUUUCAAUUGCUUAUGAAUCUUGAAGAACCAUCACUGAUUAUUAUAGACAAUGCAAGCUACCACAGUACCCUUGCAAACAAAUGUCCCAGUGGUUCAUGGAAAAAAGCAGAAAUUCGUGAAUGGCUUUAACAAGAUGACAUAAGUUCAGAUUCACAGCUGUUAAAAACGGAACUUCUUCAUUUGGUUGCACAAAAUAAACCUCCAAAAACGUAUGUUGCCGUGAAUUGGGCCAACAGAGUGGCCAUAGAGUAUUGCGAUUGCCGCCAUAUCAUUGUGUGUUUAACCCUAUAGAAAAUAUUUGGGGAAUUACUACAAAUUUUUAUUCCAAACACAUUGGGCGUGAUGGUUAUGGUUAAAAAAAUUCCGUGGAAAUGUGGAAAGAAGCGUUAGCAGAUGUCACGCCCACAAUGUGGAAAAAUACUGUUGACCAUAUGAAUAAAAUAAUACGGGAGUGGUGGGAACGGGAAUUAGUAUUUGACCGUGAAGAGAUUGUGCCGUUUAUAAUCGACAUUAACGAAGAUUCAGAUUAUAGUUUUCGUGAUUAUGACAGUGAAGAUUCUAAUACUGCAGAGGGCAUUCAGCCACUGUAACAUGUAGGUUAUUUUCCAUUACCAUCCUAAUUGAUUGUACUAGCGGCAUGUUCUGCUGAUGUCUUUUAUAAUCACACUAUCACUUCACUGGCCAAAUAUACAAAUCACUGGUCAGACGACGACGUUGUGCAACAUGCAUACUUAUUAUUGUUUAUACUUUACU